UUUAAGAUUUAAAACUGCAUAGGAAAAAAUUCUUUUACUUUUAUAUUAGUAUAAGAAACCAAAUAUGACCAUUGCAUAAUAAAAUCUGUUCUGAUCGCUUAAAAUCAUACAUCACUUAGAGAGUCGCCACAAUAAUUUUGCAUCAACUUGAGGCAGCAUCAUUAGGCAGCCCAGAUUAAUCCUGUCAUAAAGUUCUUGGCUUUUGAAUUCCUUUUAAACCCUCUAGUACUUAUGUCUGUCAUAGUCAGUCAACACUUUUGGUGCACUGAGUAUUAUGCUACAUGACAGUAAAAAAAAAUAACAAAUAAAUAAAUAAAUAAAAACUGGCAUCAAUGUGCAAUUACACUGCAGUGGUAGUACUCAAUUUCCACUCCUAAAUGGAUCCUGUCAGCAAAAUACUGCAUCAUGCAUGGAUAUUGAGCAGUUCUUCACUGAAGUCUCUUACAAACUAUUUGAGAUGGAUCAUGAAAAGCAGUGAUAUGUUAUCUUUGGAACUGAAGUGGAAGAGGACUGGUGAAAACUCAAUAGUUUCCAAUGAGCUUAUUUAGGUAGACAGGCUAGUUUUCUAGGGAGAGGUUGUCCACAAAAGGGGAUCAUGUACUCAAGUGAGGUGAUAAUAGGACUGUGUUAUCUUGGAAACUCCCCCAGCCACAGUGUAUAUCCUGUACAUAGCCAGGCCCCUACCCCUGCCUGCUCACUCCCAGUGGCACCAAAGCCCUAGUCACAGCUGAGGCCUGUGAUGCAUCAUGCAGUGUCUAAGAUGAAUAUGGAGUUAUGAGAUAAAUAUUUUGCUGAUUCUACAAAGUUUGUAACCUAAACAGCAAUUAGAGAAAAAAUGAAGAAUAGGAGCACCGAGGGGGCAGCACGGGCCAAGCAAGAGUCAUAUAUCACAGCAGACACUAUAAAUAAAAUUAGCCUGUGCCACUAAUGGGCUGGGGCCAUCCAAAAGACACCUCAAGACAGCCUAUCGACACUACAGGCAACAUAAAAAAAACCAUCACAGGGCAAGUAAAUGUGUAUCAGUGGAAAAUGACGAACGAGAGUGGAGGGUUGACAUAAGAAAAUGAUAGCGACCACCCCACAUUAACUAAACAGAUAAUUCUGUAGCCAUUAAAAAAGCAACCUUUCUCCAAUAAAUCUGUUGCCCGAAUCUAUAAAAAAAAAAAA
This is a long non-coding RNA of Eriocheir sinensis (Chinese mitten crab), 1167 nucleotides long. RefSeq lists it as uncharacterized. The transcript has 3 exons. NCBI's taxonomy places the organism in Eukaryota, Metazoa, Arthropoda, Malacostraca, Decapoda, Varunidae. The record is from RefSeq and is a predicted model, not a curated record.